GGACGCUUUCGGGGGUUUCGGCCUCCGAGGGAGUGGCGGACGGGUGAGUAGCGCGUGGGAACCUGCCUUGGAGUGGGGGAUAACCGAGGGAAACUUCGGCUAAUACCGCAUACGCCCCGGCGCGAGCCGGGGGAAAGAUUGAUCGCUCCAAGAGGGGCCCGCGUCGGAUUAGGUAGUUGGUGGGGUAACGGCCCACCAAGCCUGUGAUCCGUAGCUGGUCUGAGAGGAUGAUCAGCCACACUGGGACUGAGACACGGCCCAGACUCCUACGGGAGGCAGCAGUGGGGAAUAUUGGACAAUGGGCGCAAGCCUGAUCCAGCAAUGCCGCGUGAGUGAUGAAGGCCUUAGGGUUGUAAAGCUCUUUCAGCGGGGAAGAUAAUGACGGUACCCGCAGAAGAAGCCCCGGCUAACUUCGUG
RNAcentral lists this ribosomal RNA (417 nucleotides) under uncultured bacterium. Its description in RNAcentral is "bacterial SSU rRNA". It matches the Rfam family "Bacterial small subunit ribosomal RNA", at positions 64 to 507 of the family's 1533-position model. The record is from RNAcentral.